Grus americana (Whooping crane) is the source of this 436-nucleotide long non-coding RNA. RefSeq lists it as uncharacterized. Lineage: Eukaryota; Metazoa; Chordata; Aves; Gruiformes; Gruidae. The record is from RefSeq and is a predicted model, not a curated record. The transcript has 3 exons.
AACACCAGACAAAACUGCAACAUAGCAAGGUUCAAACUCAGAUAUGAGUUUAUGCCUCAUCUGAAAGCCUUAAUUGGGCGAAGCUUACAUGGGACUGGUGUUUGCAGACUUAUUGUUUCUGCCUGCCUUGUGUGAGUCAUGAAAAGAAACAUCAUCUCAGGUGUCUCAGAUGCAUCCAGGCUGCUUUAACCUAUUUAUAGUGGCUCUUAAGGAGACAAGCUCACAUCCUUCCCACCAGAAGUUGCUACCAGUGCUGAACUACGGCCAUGCAGUGGAGGAGUUGGGGAUCUCCCAGUAACUCAGUUUCCAAUAAAAGAGACUAACAUCCUACAGUCAGGACUGCCAACAUUACCAUGGAAACCCCCAAAAAUAAAGACUUUCCCAGCCUUGUGAGAGCACACCUGCAAGAGCAAGAAUUGCCUGUCAAAGUGACUGU